AUUGAACGCUGGCGGCAGGCCUAACACAUGCAAGUCGAACGAGUGGCGGACGGGUGAGGAAUGUCUGGGAAACUGCCCGAUGGAGGGGGAUAACUACUGGAAACGGUAGCUAAUACCGCAUACCAUCGGAUGUGCCCAGAUGGGAUUAGCUAGUAGGUGGGGCAACGGCUGACAUAGGCGACGAUCACUAGCUGGGCUGAGAGGAUGACCAGCCACACUGUAACUGAGACACGGUCCAGACGCCUACGGGCGGCAGCAGUGGGGAAGAUUGCACAAUGGGCGCAAGCCUGAUGCAGCCAUGCCGCGUGUAUGAAGAAGGCCUUCGGGUUGUAAAGUACGUUCAGCGAGGAGGCGUUACUCGCAGAAGAAGCACCGGCUAACUCCGUGCCAGCAGCCGCGGUAAUUC
RNAcentral lists this ribosomal RNA (406 nucleotides) under uncultured bacterium. RNAcentral's name for it is "partial 16S ribosomal RNA". It matches the Rfam family "Bacterial small subunit ribosomal RNA", at positions 29 to 526 of the family's 1533-position model. The record is from RNAcentral.